This is a long non-coding RNA of Sceloporus undulatus (fence lizard), 360 nucleotides long. RefSeq lists it as uncharacterized. The record is from RefSeq and is a predicted model, not a curated record. The transcript has 3 exons. NCBI's taxonomy places the organism in Eukaryota, Metazoa, Chordata, Lepidosauria, Squamata, Phrynosomatidae.
GGACCCCUUUUACUCAUACUGCUGAAAAGGACUCUGGUCUUCUGCCCUGGCCACAACACUGGGCUCUCAUCCCUGAACACACAAUUUCUUCCAGAGUCUGGAAGAGUGAUCUAUAAAACCCAUCAUCCCCCAGCUACCAGGCAUGCUGACUGAGGAAUUCUGAGAAGUACUGUCCAAAUUGAAAAUAAUCCACAGCCAAAUUAGUGGGACAGCUGUAUGCUUCCUCUUCACCUUUUUUCCAAAGUGAUGCAGUAGGAACAACCCCAAACUGGGACUCAAGGUUGCUUAUACAUUAGGGAAGUGUUGUCCACACACACAAAAGGAUGCAAAUAUUUCAGAGGCCUGGUUUACAAAAGCCAA